UCGGUUCUUCUAAAGUGUCGGUUUUUGUUGUCCGCCUGAGCGCGGUUCGGGGAAUACCUGAUAUCCUGCGGCUCGAUCACGCCGGUGAGGCUCCCAUGGGCCACAGAGUGGGCUUUCUUAGAGUCCUUCUGUGGCGAAAGUGGGCCGUCUUCGAAAUGUGGUUGCACCAAUGCCAUUAGUCUCAGAAUGUGAACAGCAGGCAGCAAUGCCAAUGCAAUCAAUUA
This 224-nucleotide unclassified non-coding RNA is filed under the name uncultured Xenasmataceae. RNAcentral's name for it is "sequence contains ITS1". Lineage: Eukaryota; Fungi; Basidiomycota; Agaricomycetes; Russulales; Xenasmataceae. The record is from RNAcentral.